RNAcentral lists this ribosomal RNA (639 nucleotides) under uncultured Streptomyces sp. Its description in RNAcentral is "bacterial SSU rRNA". It matches the Rfam family "Bacterial small subunit ribosomal RNA", at positions 223 to 872 of the family's 1533-position model. Lineage: Bacteria; Bacillati; Actinomycetota; Actinomycetes; Kitasatosporales; Streptomycetaceae. The record is from RNAcentral.
GGAUGAGCCCGCGGCCUAUCAGCUUGUUGGUGAGGUAACGGCUCACCAAGGCGACGACGGGUAGCCGGCCUGAGAGGGCGACCGGCCACACUGGGACUGAGACACGGCCCAGACUCCUACGGGAGGCAGCAGUGGGGAAUAUUGCACAAUGGGCGAAAGCCUGAUGCAGCGACGCCGCGUGAAGGAUGACGGCCUUCGGGUUGUAAACCUCUUUCAGCAGGGAAGAAGCGAAAGUGACGGUACCUGCAGAAGAAGCGCCGGCUAACUACGUGCCAGCAGCCGCGGUAAUACGUAGGGCGCAAGCGUUGUCCGGAAUUAUUGGGCGUAAAGAGCUCGUAGGCGGCUUGUCACGUCGGUUGUGAAAGCCCGGGGCUUAACCCCGGGUCUGCAGUCGAUACGGGCAGGCUAGAGUUCGGUAGGGGAGAUCGGAAUUCCUGGUGUAGCGGUGAAAUGCGCAGAUAUCAGGAGGAACACCGGUGGCGAAGGCGGAUCUCUGGGCCGAUACUGACGCUGAGGAGCGAAAGCGUGGGGAGCGAACAGGAUUAGAUACCCUGGUAGUCCACGCCGUAAACGGUGGGCACUAGGUGUGGGCAACAUUCCACGUUGUCCGUGCCGCAGCUAACGCAUUAAGUGCCCCGC